GACGAACGCUGGCGGCGUGCUUAACACAUGCAAGUCGAACGGAAAGGCCCUGCUUUUGUGGGGUGCUCGAGUGGCGAACGGGUGAGUAACACGUGAGUAACCUGCCCUUGACUUUGGGAUAACUUCAGGAAACUGGGGCUAAUACCGGAUAGGAGCUCCUGCUGCAUGGUGGGGGUUGGAAAGUUUCGGCGGUUGGGGAUGGACUCGCGGCUUAUCAGCUUGUUGGUGGGGUAGUGGCUUACCAAGGCUUUGACGGGUAGCCGGCCUGAGAGGGUGACCGGCCACAUGGGGACUGAGAUACGGCCCAGACUCCUACGGGAGGCAGCAGUGGGGAAUAUGGCACAAUGGGCGGAAGCCUGAUGCAGCAACGCCGCGUGCGGGAUGACGGCCUUCGGGUGGGAAACCGCUUUCGCCUGUGACGAAGCGUGAGGGACGGGAAUGGGUAAAGAAGCACCGGCGAACUACGU
RNAcentral lists this ribosomal RNA (467 nucleotides) under uncultured bacterium. RNAcentral describes it as "partial 16S ribosomal RNA". It matches the Rfam family "Bacterial small subunit ribosomal RNA", at positions 28 to 506 of the family's 1533-position model. The record is from RNAcentral.